CAGUAGCCACGGUAAUACGUAGGUGGCAAGCGUUGUCCGGAAUUACUGGGCGUAAAGCGUGCGCAGGCGGUUUUGUAAGACAGGCGUGAAAUCCCCGGGCUUAACCUGGGAAUGGCGCUUGUGACUGCAAGGCUAGAGUGCGUCAGAGGGGGGUAGAAUUCCACGUGUAGCAGUGAAAUGCGUAGAGAUGUGGAGGAAUACCGAUGGCGAAGGCAGCCCCCUGGGACGAGACUGACGCUCAUGCACGAAAGCGUGGGGGGCAAACAGGAUUAGAUCCCCUGUAGUCCCUGUCUCUUAUACA
This 301-nucleotide ribosomal RNA is filed under the name uncultured bacterium. RNAcentral's name for it is "partial 16S ribosomal RNA". It matches the Rfam family "Bacterial small subunit ribosomal RNA", at positions 509 to 808 of the family's 1533-position model. The record is from RNAcentral.